UAUAUUAUGCAGUGCUCGGGUACAGAUAUCUGUCAUAGGUUAGCUUGUGAUCCUUUGGGUUCAUGAGCACCGUGUAGCAUUUCGAGUACUAGAUUCCCGGCAUUAUAGUUUAAGGAACAAGUUCUUAGUCAUUUAAGGAAUAAAGGAUUUGAAUACGCGGCUAGGAUAGAGAUAUACUUAGAAGUCUUUCUUGGUUCACUUGCAAGAUGAUAGCUUAAUGCAUCAAAAUGGAUAAUUGGAUCCCUGC
This 247-nucleotide long non-coding RNA is filed under the name Capsicum annuum. Its description in RNAcentral is "long non-coding RNA (CANN_LNC004954)". The record is from RNAcentral. Lineage: Eukaryota; Viridiplantae; Streptophyta; Magnoliopsida; Solanales; Solanaceae.